This 498-nucleotide ribosomal RNA is filed under the name uncultured bacterium. RNAcentral's name for it is "partial 16S ribosomal RNA". It matches the Rfam family "Bacterial small subunit ribosomal RNA", at positions 30 to 523 of the family's 1533-position model. The record is from RNAcentral.
AUUGAACGCUGGCGGCAUGCUUUACACAUGCAAGUCGAACGGCAGCGCGGGGCAACCUGGCGGCGAGUGGCGAACGGGUGAGUAAUACAUCGGAACGUACCCAGAAGUGGGGGAUAACGUAGCGAAAGUUACGCUAAUACCGCAUACGUUCUACGGAAGAAAGUGGGGGAUCUUCGGACCUCAUGCUUUUGGAGCGGCCGAUGUCUGAUUAGCUAGUUGGUGAGGUAAAGGCUCACCAAGGCGACGAUCAGUAGCUGGUCUGAGAGGACGACCAGCCACACUGGGACUGAGACACGGCCCAGACUCCUACGGGAGGCAGCAGUGGGGAAUUUUGGACAAUGGGCGCAAGCCUGAUUCAGCAAUGCCGCGUGAGUGAAGAAGGCCUUCGGGUUGUAAAGCUCUUUUGUCAGGGAAGAAACGGCUGGGGCUAAUAUCCCCGGCUAAUGACGGUACCUGAAGAAUAAGCACCGGCUAACUACGUGCCAGCAGCCGCGGUAA